RNAcentral lists this ribosomal RNA (254 nucleotides) under uncultured bacterium. Its description in RNAcentral is "partial 16S ribosomal RNA". It matches the Rfam family "Bacterial small subunit ribosomal RNA", at positions 524 to 776 of the family's 1533-position model. The record is from RNAcentral.
UACAGAGGUCCCGAGCGUUGUUCGGAUUCACUGGGCGUAAAGGGUGCGUAGGUGGCUUGACAAGUUUGAUGUGAAAUCUCCGGGCUUAACCCGGAAAAUGCAUUGAAUACUGUAGAGGCUUGAGGUUUGGAGGGGGGAUUGGAAUUCUCGGUGUAGCAGUGAAGUGCGUAGAUAUCGAGAGGAACACCAGUGGCGAAGGCGAGUCCCUGGACAACACCUGACACUGAGGCACGAAAGCCGGGGGAGCAAACAGG